AAUAUGGCGCAAGCUGAAAUAAGUUAUUGCCAAAUCCGGAGCUCGCGUCCGAUUAGUUAUUUGCCGGGGUAAGCGCCUUCCAAGACAGCGAUCGGUAGCUGUUAUGAGAGGACGCGCAGCCCCACUGGGACUGAGACACGGCCCAGACUCCUACGGGAGGCAGCAGUGGGGAAUUUUCCCCAAUGGGCGAAAGCCUGACGGAGCAAUACCGCGUGAGGGAGGAAGGCUUUUGGGUUGUAAACCUCUUUUAUUAAGGAAGAAGCAAGUGACGGUACUUAAUGAAUCAGCAUCGGCUAACUCCGUGCCAGCAGCCGCGGUAAUACGGAGGAUGCAAGCGUUAUCCGGAAUCAUUGGGCGUAAAGCGUCCGCAGGUGGUCAAUCGUGUCUGCCGUUAAAGACAGAAGCUCAACUUCUGAGAGGCGGUGGAAACUGGUUGACUAGAGUACGGUAGGGGUUGAGGGAAUUCCCAGUGUAGCGGUGAAAUGCGUAGAUAUUGGGA
RNAcentral lists this ribosomal RNA (499 nucleotides) under Dermocarpella sp. HSC10. RNAcentral describes it as "bacterial SSU rRNA". It matches the Rfam family "Bacterial small subunit ribosomal RNA", at positions 189 to 702 of the family's 1533-position model. Lineage: Bacteria; Bacillati; Cyanobacteriota; Cyanophyceae; Pleurocapsales; Dermocarpellaceae. The record is from RNAcentral.